UACGUAGGGGGCAAGCGUUAUCCGGAUUUACUGGGUGUAAAGGGAGCGUAGACGGCGAUGCAAGCCAGAUGUGAAAGCCCGCGGCUCAACUGCGGUAGUGCAUUUGGAACUGUAUGGCUGGAGUGCAGGAGAGGCAGGCGGAAUUCCUAGUGUAGCGGUGAAAUGCAUAGAUAUCACGCAGAACCCCGAUUGCGAAGGCAGCAUACCGGUGCACAACUGACGCUCAGGCACGAAAGCGUGGGUAUCGAACAGG
This 253-nucleotide ribosomal RNA is filed under the name uncultured Eubacteriales bacterium. RNAcentral describes it as "uncultured Clostridiales bacterium partial 16S ribosomal RNA". It matches the Rfam family "Bacterial small subunit ribosomal RNA", at positions 524 to 776 of the family's 1533-position model. Lineage: Bacteria; Bacillati; Bacillota; Clostridia; Eubacteriales. The record is from RNAcentral.